GUCAAAAUUGCUGUAAUGUGUCCUGCAAAUCACAUUAGUUCUCGCAGCUAGCUGCGUUCUUCAUCGACGCACGAGCCGAAAAUCGGAAGAGCAGUUU
Molecule: long non-coding RNA, 97 nt
Organism: Poecilia latipinna (sailfin molly)
Lineage: Eukaryota; Metazoa; Chordata; Actinopteri; Cyprinodontiformes; Poeciliidae
Exons: 3
Source: RefSeq, a predicted model, not a curated record